GGCUGCUCCCUGCUCUGAGCUGCUGGCUAUUAGCUGUCAUCCAUCCUGGAUGUGAGACAAGCAGGUGGAUAAGAGAGACAUCAUCUCGUUAGGACCUGCAGGAACAGGCAAGCGGGGUGCCUAUCAGGGGCGCUCAUCUCCGAGGCAGGCUCGGACUCCAGCACGAAGCACCAGGAACUUCCAAUGUCUUGACACAACUGAAGUUGAUUCCAUCCAACUCACCGCCCUCCAACUUGUCCGGCAAUGCCCACAACCACUCCUGAGGUUGUACACCAGGGCCCCCACUGAAGGGCCGGUCAAAAUUGUAGCUUCCAGCGCCAUCCACACCCACUGAGCACACUCUUUGGUAAUGGAGACAGAGGACCUACAUUUCUAACAAGUUCUGGUCACUUUGAUGUA
Molecule: long non-coding RNA, 399 nt
Filed under: Bos indicus x Bos taurus (hybrid cattle)
Lineage: Eukaryota; Metazoa; Chordata; Mammalia; Artiodactyla; Bovidae
Description: lncRNA (ENSBIXG00005021072.1)
Source: RNAcentral